Molecule: ribosomal RNA, 320 nt
Filed under: uncultured eukaryote
Lineage: Eukaryota
Description: partial 18S ribosomal RNA
Rfam family: Eukaryotic small subunit ribosomal RNA
Source: RNAcentral
CCCCUAGAUGUUCUGGGCCGCACGCGCGCUACACUGAACAGUUCAACAAGUCUUAACCUUGGCCGAUAGGUCUGGGUAAUCUUUGAACGCUGUUCGUGAUUGGGAUAGACCUUUGCAAUUAUGGGUCUUCAACGAGGAAUUCCUAGUAAACGCAAGUCAUCAGCUUGCAUUGAUUACGUCCCUGCCCUUUGUGCACACCGCCCGUCGCACCUACCGAUUGAAUGGUCCGGUGAAAUCUCGGGACGGCGGCUUGGUCGCUUGCGUCCGACUGCUGAAACUUGAUUAAACCAUAUCAUUUAGAGGAAGGUGAAGUCGUAACA